UACGUAGGGGGCAAGCGUUGUCCGGAAUCAUUGGGCGUAAAGAGCGUGUAGGCGGCCCGGUAAGUCCGCUGUGAAAGUCCAGGGCUCAACCCUGGGAUGCCGGUGGAUACUGUCGGGCUCGAGUCCGGAAGAGGAGUGUGGAAUUCCUGGUGUAGCGGUGAAAUGCGCAGAUAUCAGGAGGAACACUAAUGGCGAAGGCAGCACUCUGGGACGUGACUGACGCUGAGACGCGAAAGCGUGGGGAGCAAACAGG
Molecule: ribosomal RNA, 253 nt
Filed under: uncultured bacterium
Lineage: Bacteria
Description: partial 16S ribosomal RNA
Rfam family: Bacterial small subunit ribosomal RNA
Source: RNAcentral